UACCUCUUCCACAUCACUACUGUAGACGGUAAGAGGUAAGGGGGGCAGGGUUUUUUCCCCCUGUACAGUAAUAUCAAUCAUGGAACUAUUCUGAUUUUUUUGUAAUUAUACAACAUGAAAUUCAACACUUUACACUCACCAUCCAAGAAUAACAGAAACAUCUGGAGAGUAUUUUUAGAAAAAUAUAAUAUUCAUAAUGACUUCAUAGAUACCAACCCUACAGUGGUUAUUCGUGUAAAAGUUGCAUCAUACUGCAGCACACCAUGCGGUCCGCUGCAAAAUUCUAUGGCACAUUAUUUAAUUGUCAACCAGUGUUGCCAUUAAUGAUAGUUAGUGCUAGUUUGACCACCAAAGGGCAUCUUUGAGAAGCAUUUGAUUGUCUUCAAUAUUGGCUGUACUAGAGAAUUUGAAAACUUUUUUGUAAGAACACCGUAUAUGGGAUUGGCUUUAAGAAAUGUAGCUUAAUUCAUUUGAUUAAUGAAAUGGUGGUUCUAUUCCAAGAAAAAUGAAAAAACAAAACCCUCAGGGUUUCCGUUAGGAAGAUAUUGCGCUGUAAAAUGUGACGGUAGGGAGUAGGCUACAGUACUAAGAGCAUAACAUUUCCAUACCCUAAUUUUAGUCUAACCAAUACCCAAACAGAGAUUCAGUGAACUUAAAAAUCUCAUUGAUUUAUCAAGAGCAGUCCCAUUGCUUGUCUUAGAGCAGCGCUGUCUUGACCUCUGAAUGCUGUCUUUUCUCCUUCCACUUGCCUCUUCUUUUAAUUUUGAAAGAGUAUUUUCCAGUAAGCAUAAUCAAUGCUCUAACUCCCCCUUGAAGCAGUGACGCAGGGCGCCGCACUAAACCUCAAAUUACCUCUAAAUCCCGCAGCAUAAUCUCAAAACGUUUAGUUGAACAACCAAUGUAAGUGUUACCAACCCACACACUGGGUAGCUUUGUCUCACAUUGCCAUACCUCCAAAAUCACGUCUUUGUCACAUCUCCCUUGGAAGUCUUUAGAAUUUUGUGUUACAAAAACAGUUUGAUUGGAUGUUACAUUUCAAGAACCCUCCCUCCACACCCCCUUAGAAGGGGUGCUGUGUGUUAUGUGUGUCACUGCUUUCCGUCUGGCUAGUUGUUGCCUCUGCUAGUUUCAAGGGCUAGUUAUCAAGUGUGGCCGACAGUCUGUGAUUUGUAUUUAUUGAAAUUAAAAGUGGAUUACUCUGGUAAAGUCAAACGUCACAACACAUUUUUUCUUCCAUGUCUCCAUUCAUCCACAUGGCUGCAAUUGCUGCAAUUCGGUACCACCUAAAGUAUUAAGAAGAUUGGCGAUUAUUUUGUUUUUGUAUGGACCCAAAAAACAGAUGCAGUGGGAAAACCUAUUCAAGCUCAAAAUGGCUCAAUGAUGGCCAUCCCAUGCGAGAAAUUGCAGAGAAACUGAAGAUCUCGUACAACGCUGUGUACUACUCCCUUCACAGAACAGCUCAAACGGGCUCUAACCACAAUAGAAAGAGAAGUGGGUGGUCGCCAUGCACAGCUGAGCAAGAGGACAACUACAUUAGAGUGUCUAGUUUGGGAAAGAGACGCCUCACAUGUCCUCAACUGGCAGCUUCAUUAAAUAGUACCUGCAAAACACCAGUCUCAACAUCAACAUUGAAGAGGCGACUCUGGGAUGCUGAUGUGUUUAAAUAUGUUGUAAUUGUUAACCUAUUAUUCAAAAUGAACUAGUGUCAAGAUUGAUUAAUCACAUAUCACAAUCCUGCAAUAAAGAGGGGAAGGGGUUCUGUCUCUAAUAUGUCUGUGUUUCUGUAUUGUAUUCUCAAAUAAACAUUUCCUUUUUGUCUA
Molecule: long non-coding RNA, 1820 nt
Organism: Oncorhynchus masou masou (cherry salmon)
Lineage: Eukaryota; Metazoa; Chordata; Actinopteri; Salmoniformes; Salmonidae
Exons: 2
Source: RefSeq, a predicted model, not a curated record